GAUGAACGCUGGCGGCGUGCCUAAUACAUGCAAGUCGAGCGAACAGACGAGGAGCUUGCUCCUCUGACGUUAGCGGCGGACGGGUGAGUAACACGUGGAUAACCUACCUAUAAGACUGGGAUAACUUCGGGAAACCGGAGCUAAUACCGGAUAAUAUAUUGAACCGCAUGGUUCAAUAGUGAAAGACGGUUUUGCUGUCACUUAUAGAUGGAUCCGCGCCGCAUUAGCUAGUUGGUAAGGUAACGGCUUACCAAGGCAACGAUGCGUAGCCGACCUGAGAGGGUGAUCGGCCACACUGGAACUGAGACACGGUCCAGACACCUACGGGAGGCAGCAGUAGGGAAUCUUCCGCAAAGGGCGAAAGACUGACGGAGCAACGCCGCGUGAGUGAUGAAGGUCUUCGGAUAGUAAAACUCUGUUAUUAGGGAAGAACAAAUGUGUAAGUAACUAUGCACGUCUUGACGGUACCUAAUCAGAAAGCCACGGCUAACUACGUG
This 497-nucleotide ribosomal RNA is filed under the name uncultured bacterium. RNAcentral's name for it is "partial 16S ribosomal RNA". It matches the Rfam family "Bacterial small subunit ribosomal RNA", at positions 28 to 507 of the family's 1533-position model. The record is from RNAcentral.